RNAcentral lists this ribosomal RNA (253 nucleotides) under uncultured bacterium. RNAcentral's name for it is "partial 16S ribosomal RNA". It matches the Rfam family "Bacterial small subunit ribosomal RNA", at positions 524 to 776 of the family's 1533-position model. The record is from RNAcentral.
UACGUAGGGUGCAAGCGUUGUCCGGAAUUACUGGGCGUAAAGGGCGCGUAGGCGGCCGCCUAAGUCAGACGUGAAAUCCCUCGGCUUAACCGGGGAACUGCAUCUGAUACUGGAUGGCUUGAGUUCGGGAGAGGGAUGCGGAAUUCCAGGUGUAGCGGUGAAAUGCGUAGAUAUCUGGAGGAACACCGGUGGCGAAGGCGGCAUCCUGGACCGACACUGACGCUGAGGAGCGAAAGCCAGGGGAGCAAACGGG